AUGGCCUGGACUCCUCUCCUGCUGGUGCUCCUCUCUCUCUUCACAGGUUCCCUCCCUGAGCCUGUGCUGACUCAGCUGGCCUCCCUCUCUGCGUCUCCGGGAGCAUCAGCCAGACUCACCUGCACCCUGAGCAGUGGCUACACUGUUGGUAGCUACCAAAUGUCCUGUUUCCAGCAGAAGCCAGGGGGCCCUCCCCAGGACCUCCUGAUGUUCAAGUCAGACUCGGAUAAGCCCCAGGGCUCCAGGGUCCCCAGUCACUUCUCUGGAUCCAAGGCUGCCUCGGCCAACACAGAGCUCCUGCUCAUCUCUGGGCUGCAGACUCAGGAUGAGGCUGAUUGUAACUGCUACUGUCACCAAAACACUGGUAUUUACCAGGGGCUUCAGACUGUGCAAGGCUGA
This is a non-coding RNA of Budorcas taxicolor (takin), 399 nucleotides long. NCBI's taxonomy places the organism in Eukaryota, Metazoa, Chordata, Mammalia, Artiodactyla, Bovidae. The record is from the annotation of a RefSeq genome assembly.